UGAGAACCACCCUGAACGCACGCACCCGAUCUCUCGUCUGAUCUCGGAAGCUAAGCAGGGUCGGGCCUGGUUAGUACUUGGAUGGGAGAAGUUUGGCUUUUAA
RNAcentral lists this ribosomal RNA (103 nucleotides) under Neogale vison (American mink). The record is from RNAcentral. Lineage: Eukaryota; Metazoa; Chordata; Mammalia; Carnivora; Mustelidae.